UGGGGGUGGACGGUGAUAGCACGAUUGGUUGAUAGUUUAGCUAAAGGCCACAUAUAGAUAAAGCUCGGUGUCGUACACUGAGGAAAGCAUUGUAUCAGACUCAACGUCGGAUUGGCUAUGAUUCGCCUGCAGGGUCCGUCCGACCGGCCAGGAGCCGGCAUGCCAGACGAGGCCAAGCUGGCCCGCGACUCGGUCAUCGUCAACACGGCCGCCUUUGUCGUCAUCUGCGGCGUCAUCCGCGCCUUGCCAUUGGCGCUGGCGACGCUGAGCGGGGACACGUGAGCGAGCCUCGGGCGUGUCGCCGACCACCGCGCCGCCCCGGCCGACGGCGCUGAGUGCCGGCGGCACCGCUCCGGCUGGGUGCCGACAGCGCUGGGUGCCGUCAUCGCCACUCCGACCGACAGCGCUGGGUGCCGACAGCGCCGCUCCGGCGGCCGUAACUGACGUGAUGUGCCGCCCCUCGACCAACCGUGCCGGCGCCCGGACGCGUCCGACGGGAACUGGCGGGGAACUGUGGCAGCGACGGCUUUUCUCAGGCUGGUGCGACGACACCGCGACAUCCCAGGACUGUUUAGAGGCAGGUGCGAGUGAGCCGGUGUGGUAGUUUGCUGCUGCGAUGGUGUGUGGUGCGCCUUGAGUGUUGAUUUUGCGAUAAGCUGGCGAUGCAAACAUAGUCGGCAAAUAUACGUUAACUACAUUG
This is a long non-coding RNA of Pollicipes pollicipes, 700 nucleotides long. RefSeq lists it as uncharacterized. NCBI's taxonomy places the organism in Eukaryota, Metazoa, Arthropoda, Thecostraca, Pollicipedomorpha, Pollicipedidae. The record is from RefSeq and is a predicted model, not a curated record. The transcript is spliced from 3 exons.